Long non-coding RNA from Physella acuta, 416 nucleotides. RefSeq lists it as uncharacterized. The record is from RefSeq and is a predicted model, not a curated record. Lineage: Eukaryota; Metazoa; Mollusca; Gastropoda; Physidae.
GACUUCUACUCGGUAAAGAAACAUUGAUGACGCUUGAAUUCCAAAUAUCUACAUACAGUAACUUAAACUAAAUAGAAAACUGCCCACACACCAACAUUUGAGAUUUCAAGACUGAAUGUCUGAGAUGAGUCCAUUCACAAUUCUGUUCUCGCGUGUGCUACUCUGUUGAUCUUCUGUUCUAGAACAGCUGGCGAGUCAAAGAAUAUUUAUAACAUAUGCAACCGCCCCGGAGGAGUUCAAGCCUGUCAGACAUUCUGUGACCCUGACGAUGGAAGGUGUGAGCACUUCAAUGGACCCGCCAAGUUCUUUGAGCGUGGGCAAUGGAUGUGCGUGAACACAAAAUUGCGAUGCUCGUGUCAUAAGAAAACAACAAGAAGAACAACAAGGCGAACGACCCGUGUACCUUCACACAUUCC